GUCGCUUCAGUACGUAAUCUAUUGAUGCCCUCUUAGAACAGAUUUUAGCACGGCUGUCAUAGCAACAUUUCCGAAAGUUUUUUUCUUCUUCAAACAAAAACAAACUUCGAAAAUGAAAACUGGCGGAGAUCGAAUCACGCAGAAAUUAUCCCUUAAAAGGCAAUUCUAAAGUUUAAUUUUACAUUUUAUAAUAUUAUGAAAGCAUUAUUGAUAUGAAAAUACGCGAUCCGGUAUGUUGAAGAAUAUGAAAGCUUGCAUCGCAAAUUGUAAACUCGAAUUUCCAAAAAGAAACUGGCAAAAAUACGCCCGGGAACAAAUAAUCGCGGGUUUAAGAAGUGUUGAGACAUAUAACCAAAUACUGGAAGAAGGUAUUCUAUCUUAUAGUCCCGGUAGCGAUGUCGUUCUAUGUACCCCUCACUACCAGAUGCAUUAGACGUAUCAGAGCCUCUACACCUCAACACCGGCACUUUUCGCAUCACGAGAUGUUCAUCGAUGAAGAAAACCAAAAUUAUACAAGUCUAAAAUCCCGUUUUUUGUAGCAUACCGUGAAAACGACGACGAAGCUCGCACCGAGGCUCGCACAAUAUAUGCCGUUUUUUCAGGAUAUUUGGAAAUGGAAAAACUUUUGACAUUCCCCUCGGACUUAGAAGUCUUAAUUCGCCAGAUACGAGAAUGCAGAUUUACAGUUGAAUGUUCAUAAUUAGCUCAUGUCCCGAAAUAAUUAUUUAUUUUUCUUUUAAAUACAGAAGGAAUUGAUUAGGAUGAAUUUAAAAUUAGAUUGUUUCUUUUUUGAAUUGAAUGAUCAGAACUAUCAAUAGCGAUGGGAGAUAUAUAAAUAUCAACCAUAAAUGCCAUUAGACAUCUCGUUUCUA
Molecule: long non-coding RNA, 872 nt
Organism: Armigeres subalbatus
Lineage: Eukaryota; Metazoa; Arthropoda; Insecta; Diptera; Culicidae
Exons: 3
Source: RefSeq, a predicted model, not a curated record